CAAUAGCGUAUAUUAAAGUUGUUGCAGUUAAAAAGCUCGUAGUUGAAUUUUUGCUUGCCGCCGAUGUAGGAACUUCCGUACGUUCGGCGGCGUGCAUCCUUGGGUGGAACCUGUGUGGCAUUAGGUUGUCGUGCAGGGGAUGCUCAUCGUUUACUGUGAAAAAAUUAGAGUGUUCAAAGCAGGCUUAUGCCGUUGAAUAUAUUAGCAUGGAAUAAUAAGAUAGGACCUUGGUACUAUUUUGUUGGUUUGCGCACCGAGGUAAUGAUUAACAGGGACAGUUGGGGGUAUUCGUAUUCCAUUGUCAGAGGUGAAAUUCUUGGAUUUCUGGAAGACGAACUACUGCGAAAGCAUUUACCAAGGAUGUUUUCAUUAA
Molecule: ribosomal RNA, 373 nt
Filed under: uncultured eukaryote
Lineage: Eukaryota
Description: partial 18S ribosomal RNA
Rfam family: Eukaryotic small subunit ribosomal RNA
Source: RNAcentral